UACAGAGGUCUCAAGCGUUGUUCGGAUUCAUUGGGCGUAAAGGGUGCGUAGGUGGCGGGGUAAGUCAGGUGUGAAAUCUCGGAGCUCAACUCCGAAACUGCACUUGAUACUGCCUUGCUCGAGUACUGGAGAGGAGAUUGGAAUUUACGGUGUAGCAGUGAAAUGCGUAGAUAUCGUAAGGAAGACCAGUGGCGAAGGCGAAUCUCUGGUCAGUUACUGACACUGAGGCACGAAGGCCAGGGGAGCAAACAGG
Molecule: ribosomal RNA, 253 nt
Filed under: uncultured bacterium
Lineage: Bacteria
Description: partial 16S ribosomal RNA
Rfam family: Bacterial small subunit ribosomal RNA
Source: RNAcentral